RNAcentral lists this ribosomal RNA (393 nucleotides) under uncultured bacterium. RNAcentral's name for it is "bacterial SSU rRNA". It matches the Rfam family "Bacterial small subunit ribosomal RNA", at positions 28 to 409 of the family's 1533-position model. The record is from RNAcentral.
GACGAACGCUGGCGGCGUGCCUAACACAUGCAAGUCAGGGAUUGAAUGAAGGGUAGCAAUACUUUUUUAUUCAAUACCGGCGCACGGGUGAGUAACACGUAGGCAACCUACCCUCAGGCGGGGAACAACAUCGAGAAAUCGGUGCUAAUACCGCAUAAUGCAACGAGACCACAUGAUCUUGUUGUUAAAGAUCCGCAAGGAUCACCAGAGGAUGAACCUGCGCCGAUUAGCUAGUUGGCGGAGUAACAGCCCACCAAGGCGACGAUCGGUAGCCGACUGAGAGGGUGAUCGGCCACACUGGAACUGAGAUACGGUCCAGACUCCUACGGGAGCAGCAGUGAGAAUNUUGGUCAAUGGCCGAAAGGCUAGAACCAGCAACGCCGCGUGAGGGAU